AUGGAGGGUUCCAAUUUGAGAGUUCCGGUAGAUGAUGGACUUAUCUUGAAGACAAGCAAGGGUGCAGGCACUGGUUUAACUGCUGGCAGCGUUUGGGGUUUGCUGGUUUCUAUGCUGCACGAUGGACCUAAGGUUGGCAGUAAUGUCAAGUAUCCUGAGCUGGUUAGAACUGGCAAGGUGUGUCGAAGUUACGCAGGAACCUUGGCAAUUCUUGGAGCCACAUAUGUAGGCGUGGAGCAAUCUCUUGAAAGGGUCAGGGGGAAGAAGGACAUCAUUAAUGGUGCUGUAGCUGGUUUUGCUGCGGGUGCAACUAUGGGUUUCAGAGCCGGGAGACUCCGGACACUCAUCGUGUCAGGGUCUGCGCUCGCUCUGACUUCGGUACUCUUGGAUGUGACUGGAAUGAGAACUACUGAGGAAGAAAAAGUCCAGCACUAA
This 435-nucleotide ribosomal RNA is filed under the name Triticum aestivum (bread wheat). Its description in RNAcentral is "partial small subunit ribosomal RNA". Lineage: Eukaryota; Viridiplantae; Streptophyta; Magnoliopsida; Poales; Poaceae. The record is from RNAcentral.